Molecule: ribosomal RNA, 171 nt
Filed under: uncultured bacterium
Lineage: Bacteria
Description: partial 16S ribosomal RNA
Rfam family: Bacterial small subunit ribosomal RNA (bases 1-79)
Source: RNAcentral
CACGCCCUAAACGAUGCGAACUGGAUGUUGGUCUCAACUCGGAGAUCAGUGUCGAAGCUAACGCGUUAAGUUCGCCGCCUGGGGANACGCGAAAAACCUUACCCACUUUUGACAUGUACGGAAGUUGCCAGAGAUGGCUUCGUGCUCGAAAGAGAACCGUAACACAGGUGC